UACGGAGGGUGCAAGCGUUAAUCGGAUUUAUUGGGCGUAAAGGGCGCGUAGGCGGAUGGAAAAGUCAGAUGUGAAAUUUCAUGGCUCAACCAUGGAGCUGCAUUUGAAACUUUCGGUCUAGAGGAUAGAGUGGGGAAAGCGGAAUUCCACAUGUAGCGGUGAAAUGCGUAGAUAUGUGGAGGAACACCGGUGGCGAAGGCGGCUUUCUAACCUAUACCUGACGCUGAGGCGCGAAAGCGUGGGGAUCAAACAGG
This 254-nucleotide unclassified non-coding RNA is filed under the name uncultured Chlamydiales bacterium. Its description in RNAcentral is "contains 16S-23S intergenic spacer region". It matches the Rfam family "Bacterial small subunit ribosomal RNA", at positions 524 to 776 of the family's 1533-position model. The record is from RNAcentral. Lineage: Bacteria; Pseudomonadati; Chlamydiota; Chlamydiia; Chlamydiales.